This 67-nucleotide transfer RNA is filed under the name Scolopocryptops sp. 1 YG-2013. Its description in RNAcentral is "tRNA-Thr". The record is from RNAcentral. Lineage: Eukaryota; Metazoa; Arthropoda; Chilopoda; Scolopendromorpha; Cryptopidae.
UCAAUUAUCAUAAAUUAUUUAAUAGUUUAAUGUAAAACAUAGAUUUUGUAAAUCUAACAUGGUUUAA